UAUUUACACAUUGUUAGGUUAUUUUAUUAAGUGAUUCAAGUAUAUUUGUCCAUGGUUGUGAUUAAGUAAUUUCUAAUCUUCUUAUUUGGGGACUUUGUCUUUCCAACCUCACUGGAUAGUCAAAAGGGUGGGAUAUGGUUUAUUCAGAAUUUGUUAUUAAGGGCCACAAGAAAAAAGGUUUACUAAAAUAGCCCCCCGAUCAAGCUUUCCUCUAUUGAUGGUCCGCUUUAACCAUUAUUUCAUAGAAAUUCUAAGCUUCUUAAGAGCUAAACGUUUGGAACUUUUGUUAAAUUUUAACUUCUGACAUAUAUUGUUUUAGUGUUGAUUUUUACUGAACAUGUUUUUUGCUUUAAUAUUCCUGGGGGUCUAAUCAAUUUGUCCCUCCUAACAAACCAACUCCAGAAAGAAGUCACGACUACCCGUCUGCCAAGUUAUAAGAAUCAAUAUUUGUCUUAAUUAAUUUCUGGGAUAAAAAACAUUUUAAUUUUUUUUUGAUUCCAUGUCCAUAGCAAGAAACUUGAGACGGGAGGUGGGGGUGAUCAUGGUCUCCUCCUAAUUAUGAACUAUGUUUCUAUGAUGCUCGGACUCGGCUCACCACCCCUCCGUACCGGUGUCGACACGACACGACCCGGGUGCGGACACGGAAUCCGGAUCGGACCCGCCGGAGAGAAAGUGGACUCGACACUCUUUAACCCUAGAUCUAAAAAUUGAGAAGAGAAAACAACAAAUCAAGAGCCGAAACCUUAGGGCUUUUGUUCGGCCAGAAAUUCCGAGUUGAUCGGACCACCGAGUUGUUGGUUUUCUUCUCCGGCGAAGGGUGGUUGUCGACAUUAGCAGAAUAGCAGGUUCGACUUUUUUGAAAAAAAUAUCUUCGACAUUAGCAGAAUAGCAGGUUCUGAUUUUCGGUUUUAAUUUUUUUUUACUUUUUAAUGUGGGGUUGGGUAGGUGGAAGAAAGUGACUGAUUCCCAUCUACCUCUUUUUCUGCUUUUUAACUUCGGAUUUUUCAUGAAAUGCCCCUGAGGUUUAUCUUAAUGCACCAAAUACCCCUAAACUUUCCAGAAUGCACCAAAUACCCCUGAGGUUUAGUAUAAAUACACAAAAUGCCCACAAGGCUAACGGACGUUAAGUACCCGUUAGCGUAUGUUUACCUUUAUGCCCUUAAUAAACCGUUUUCUCUACUUAUCCUAACAUUAACCCCUUAAUUAUAUUAAUCAACUCUUAAUUACAUUAAUUAAUCCUUAAUUAAAUUAAUUAACCCUUAAUUACAUUAACUAAUCCUUAAUUAAAUUAAUUAACCCUUAAUUAAAUUAAUUAAUUAUUAUCUAAAAAAACCAAUUACCCCCAAAUUUUUUGGGAUUCUCCAUUGCCACCCUGUUGUUUCCUUUGGUCUGUCUCCUCAAUUCCCACCACCACCAUGUCAACCCUCUCUCCAUUAUCAAUACCAACCAUAACUCCUGCUUCCAAGUUCCACCUCCAUGCCUAAUCUCUCUCCUUCCCUCACCCUCCACACUGAUCUAAUUUGAGGAGUUAAGCAACCACAUGACCUUCAUCCUCGCAGCACCAACGAAUUAGAGGAGAGAGAACGCCACCACCACCAAACCCCACCGCCGCCAUGCCGCCACCACCAAACCCCACUCCCCCUUCCUCACCGAUGACGUUUCCCUCCCCCGCACUUCCCCCAUCUUCCUCAUUGCUCCCCACUGCCGCCGUCACCACCAAACCCGUGUUUCCCUUCCCUGCACUUCCCCCACCUUCCUCAUUGCUCCCCACUACCGCCGCCACCAAACCCCACUCCCCCUUCCUCACCGGCGUCGUUGCCCACCCCCCACUUCCCCCUCCGUUACGAUAAUUGCGACUAGAUUGCUGAUUUGGGGAUCAAUUUUUUUGGGAUCUGGAUUUUGAGGAGAGAGGAAAAUCGAUGUGCUUAUCUGCCGUGGAACAGGCUGGUGUCGGUGGCGGUGUGGGGUGGUGGUGAGGAAGAGAAGGGGUUAGCAGGGUGGUGUGUGUGGUGGUGGUGAUGAAGAGAAGGGCUGCCAUGGAAGACAGGGAAGAAGGAAGGGGAGAGAGAAAAAAACAAAAAAUAAAAAAUAAGAAAUUAAAAGGGAAAGAGAAAAAAUAAAAAUUAAAUUAAAUUAAAGUUAAAGUUAACGGUUAAUGUUAACGGAGUUAACGGAAAAUAGUCAUUUUGGGUAUUUUGUGUAUUUAUACUAAACCUCGGGGGUAUUUGGUGCAUUCUGGAAAGUUUAAGGGUAUUUGGCGCAUUAAGAUAAACGUCAAGGGCAUUUCAUGAAAAAUCCGUUUUAACUUUAUUAGUGGGUAGUCUUGAGUCUUGAGUCCUUUGCCUCUUUUUCUGUUUUUACUUUAUUUGAUAAUAUGAGCAAUAAAGUAUGGUAUUUUUAUUUAAGGAGUUUGACUUCUCACUUAAUACUUAAUUAUAUAUAUUGAGAAAACUACUAUAAUCAGUACUUUUUAAAAAAAAAUCUGCAAAUAAAAAAUAAAAAAUCUUUAUUUUGUUUUUGCACUGCCGUGUCCCCGGGUCUAAAUAUAAGUUUCGGACCCUUUCAAAACGUGUCCCCGAGUCCUUGAUUUUUGAGUUUCUCAUGUCCGACACUCGGAUCCCUUACCCGGGUCCGACACCCGUACCCGAGUCCGAGCAUCCUAGCUAUGUUUUAUUAAAUACGUAUCUAAUAAUGGAUAAUUUGGCAAGGAUGAGCAGACUUUUUUCUUACCAAAUCACUGAUUUCUUGUGAAGCUGAUCCUUCUUCGUCUGGAGGGUUCUGUUAAAUAAAGAAACAAGAGUGAUAAGUUUAUUUGUAGAUGCAACUUUUUACUUUUAAGAUACAUACUCUAGUUUGGCUAUAGUUAAUACUAAUUUAUACAGUAUUUAACAUAAAAUAUUAUCAUAAAGCCCUGAUUAGUUCAACUUAUUCGGGAAAAGUAGGUUAAGGUAGUUCAUAAUAGUCUAAUAGUCCCUCCGUUUUAGAAUAUGUGCAACACUUGAAAUGCACUAAGUUUUAGGCAAUUGAAUUAAGUUCAUUAUUUUAAUUGCAAGUGAGUGAAGUUGAGAAUUAAAUGUGUUUAUGAAAGGUUAGUGGCGUACUCCAUAGUAUUUAUUCAUAAAUAGAGAAUAGAGAAGUUAAAACAAAAGGUAGUGGGGUAAGACUGGAUAGAGGAGAGAGAAAUAAUAAAGGAAUAGCAAGUGAGGUAGAUGUAAAGAGAGGGAGAGAGAGAGAGAGGGAGAGUGAAUAUUGUUUAAAGUUGCCAAAAAUUUAAGUGAUACACUUGUUUUGAAAAAGGCAAGUGUUGCAUUUAUUCUGAAUGGAAGGAGUAUAAGUUUAGACAAGAUAAGUUUUGUUUAGACAAUUUCAAAUAAAAUAAGUAUUUAUUCAUACAAUUUAGAAAAAAAUAAACUAAAAUAAAAAUGAGUUGAACCAAAUAGACCCGAAGUUAUACAAUUAUUUUUUGGAGAUAUCUCAUAUGGUAUGAAACCCAUCAUCUUUCCAUGUAAAAUGUAAACCCCCUUAUGUCAAGAAAUUAUAAGAAAUGCCACCUAGGUUUUUAACUUUUUAGUUUUUACUAAUUACUAAUCUCGGAGAUUAACCACCAAGGUUGGUCAUUUUAAGUUAUUGUUAAUUACUGAUCUCCGAAACAUAAAAAUAAAAUAUUACCAAUCUUUGAAAUUGACCUUCAUAGGCCACCUUAACAUAUACAAGGAUUAUAUAUUGAUUGCUAACGAAAAUAAAGGGUACUCAGUAGCAACUAGCAAGUGGGCAUAAAUAGCUCUGUAUAUGCUACGGUCAAACCAUUCGCAUAUAAUCCAAGUGAAUGGAUCAUGGAAAAAGGAGAAUGAGAAAGCUGGGAUUGGCUGUGCCAUGUCUACGGACUUGGAUGAAGAGGGCCUAUCACACUUAGCACAAUCUGCGCUUCAUGCUGAAUCCCUUGUUUACAUGCGCUCUGAUGGGCUAUCAGUCUGUAAUAAUGGAAAUCCAAAGAGUACUGAUAAUUUCUGACUCAGAGAUCAUGGUUCGAAAUCUACAAAGAAGAACCAAGGAUGACAUUUCCAUCUUAUGGAUUUUGGAAGAUAUUCGAGCUACUGCAGUGGGUUUCGAGGUUGAUAAAAUCGUAAGGUGGGAAGAUUAAAGGAUGAUUCGGCACACAGAAUAGUGAACUCAUACAGCUCUCUCUAGCUUUGGGGCAUUGAGAAGGAAGGACACUUUCAGAGGCGAAAGGUCAGUGUGGUGGUAUUGAGUUGUUUCAGAAGCUUCCCAUUUUGAAAAAAUGGUUCAUUAUUUCCCGACUAUUGUUGAUGAUCAUUCUCUCCAAUACCCCUGGUGCUGAAGACAGGAGGAUUAAUGAGUUAGGCUGCUGCGCUGCUCCUGGUUGCUCUGUUCUGUUGGUGCUGCUGUGUGUUUUUCAGCCUCUUCUGCACAACGUUGAAGGUGGCCGCAUAACUGAUGAGGAAUUAUUUGUAGUUUGUGUGUUUAUCGGUUCGUACAAUGUAGUUUUAGACCAAAGUCCGACUCUGGUCAACUUUGGUAGUCUUGCUAGUUUUUUUGUUUGUUUGGUUAUAGUGUGGUAGGCUAUAAGUUUUUGGGCUUACAGGUUGUUGCAAGCCCUAGGUGGUUUUAGUUGAGCUUAUACAAUUUGGUUUGCUUUUGGAAAAAAAUGUUGAUUAAAAAUUGUUUUUUUGUAUGA
This is a long non-coding RNA of Spinacia oleracea (spinach), 4696 nucleotides long. RefSeq lists it as uncharacterized. NCBI's taxonomy places the organism in Eukaryota, Viridiplantae, Streptophyta, Magnoliopsida, Caryophyllales, Amaranthaceae. The record is from RefSeq and is a predicted model, not a curated record. The transcript is spliced from 2 exons.